GGAAGGGCCAUGGAGGACUUUCAACCAAAGAUGAGCAUUUUCUUGGAUACUUAAAGAAUAAAUUGUGAAAAGUUUGGGGCCACAGUUAGAACAUGAGUGAGGGAAGAGUCUCCUUUGCCAGGAGGACUGGCAAAGGGCCAGCUCACAGUGGAUAUUAUCGGCCAUGGCAAGUGCUUUACAAAUGACAAGAGACUUUUACUGAGGCCCAGAGAGAGCAGUACUUUGCCAAAUUUGGACUCAAACAUGGGUCUUUUGACCCUAAUUCCAGGUGUUUUCUCCCACAAUAAAGCUGCCUCUUGCAACAUGUUUUA
This 311-nucleotide long non-coding RNA is filed under the name Mustela putorius furo (domestic ferret). RNAcentral's name for it is "lncRNA (ENSMPUG00000025311.1)". Lineage: Eukaryota; Metazoa; Chordata; Mammalia; Carnivora; Mustelidae. The record is from RNAcentral.